GAUUUCUGACUUGGCGCACCUGGCCCGCCACGGUUACGUGUGUGAGUGCUGGGAUGCGCCUGUCACUUUUCUGGUAAACCAUUGUGCUCUUCACUGAGUGUGAUGGGUAGCCAGAUAUUUUACUUUGAAAAAAUUAGAGUGUUUAAAGCAGGCGUUUGCUAUGAAUACAUUAGCAUGGAAUAAUAAGUUAGGACUUCGGUUCUAUUUUGUUGGUUUCUAGGACUGAAGUAAUGAUUGAUAGGGAUAGUUGGGGGUGCUAGUAUUCAGCGGCCAGAGGUGAAAUUCUCGGAUUCGCUGAAGACUAACUUAUGCGAAAGCAUU
This 321-nucleotide ribosomal RNA is filed under the name uncultured Proleptomonas. RNAcentral's name for it is "SSU rRNA". The stretch from base 59 to 321 matches the Rfam family "Eukaryotic small subunit ribosomal RNA", at positions 691 to 955 of the family's 1831-position model. The record is from RNAcentral. Lineage: Eukaryota; Cercozoa; Glissomonadida.